This 65-nucleotide transfer RNA is filed under the name Macropanesthia heppleorum. RNAcentral's name for it is "tRNA-Thr". It matches the Rfam family "tRNA". From Rfam's summary of the family: Transfer RNA (tRNA) molecules are approximately 80 nucleotides in length. Their secondary structure includes four short double-helical elements and three loops (D, anti-codon, and T loops). Further hydrogen bonds mediate the characteristic L-shaped molecular structure. tRNAs have two regions of fundamental functional importance: the anti-codon, which is responsible for specific mRNA codon recognition, and the 3' end, to which the tRNAs corresponding amino acid is attached (by aminoacyl-tRNA synthetases). tRNAs cope with the degeneracy of the genetic code in two manners: having more than one tRNA (with a specific anti-codon) for a particular amino acid; and 'wobble' base-pairing, i.e. permitting non-standard base-pairing at the 3rd anti-codon position. The record is from RNAcentral. Lineage: Eukaryota; Metazoa; Arthropoda; Insecta; Blattodea; Blaberidae.
GUUUUAAUAAUUUAAUAAUAAAAUAUUGGUCUUGUAAACCAAAAAUAAGUAAAGCUUUUAAAACU